GUUUUACUGCAUUGAACAAGAAUAUAUAUUAAGAAAUGCAUAAAGCCAAUACAAUUAAAAAUUGUAAAAUUGCAAAAAUCAACAGCUUUUUGUGGUAAAAUCGACAAAAGAUAACGUAUGGUUUUCUAGCGUUUUCCUUUUGUGCUAACAUCAAAGCUGUUUUGUUCGCCUGUUCAACUCGUGCUUUUGGACUACUGCACAAGCCCUUUGUUGAAGAAUUUCGCGGAUCGUCCCGAGCGCUCGAACUGCACAAGUUACCCGGAGGGGGUUUUCAAGGAUGGUACAAUCACCGCUGUUCCCGAUCUUCUCUCUGGGCCCCCGGGUACCUGCUGGGUUUUGUUCCGGCAGAGCCCUUUCUUUGAAUUCUGACUGG
This 373-nucleotide long non-coding RNA is filed under the name Lepisosteus oculatus (spotted gar). Its description in RNAcentral is "lncRNA (ENSLOCG00000021809.1)". The record is from RNAcentral. Lineage: Eukaryota; Metazoa; Chordata; Actinopteri; Semionotiformes; Lepisosteidae.